AGAGUUUGAUCAUGGCUCAGAUUGAACGCUGGCGGAAUGCCUAACACAUGCAAGUCGAGCGGGGUGUAGCAAUACACCUAGCGGCGGACGGGUGAGCAAUACAUAGGAAUCUACCUUUCAGUGGGGGAUAGCCCGGGGAAACCCGGAUUAAUACCGCAUGAUGUCGCAAGACCAAAGCGGGGGACCGUAAGGCCUCGCGCUGAUAGAUGAGCCUAUGUCUGAUUAGCUAGUUGGCGGGGUAAAAGCCCACCAAGGCGACGAUCAGUAGCUGGUUUGAGAGAACGAUCAGCCACACCGGAACUGAGACACGGUCCGGACUCCUACGGGAGGCAGCAGUGGGGAAUAUUGGACAAUGGGCGAAAGCCUGAUCCAGCAAUUCCGCGUGUGUGAAGAAGGCCUUCGGGUUGUAAAGCACUUUAGGCAGGGACGAAAAAAUCGGAGUGAAUAACUCCGGUCUUGACGGUACCUGAAGAAUAAGCACCGGCUAACUCUGUGCCAGCAGCCGCGGUAAUAC
Molecule: ribosomal RNA, 514 nt
Filed under: uncultured bacterium
Lineage: Bacteria
Description: bacterial SSU rRNA
Rfam family: Bacterial small subunit ribosomal RNA
Source: RNAcentral